This 247-nucleotide ribosomal RNA is filed under the name Auriculariales sp. Its description in RNAcentral is "partial 28S ribosomal RNA". It matches the Rfam family "Eukaryotic large subunit ribosomal RNA", at positions 104 to 344 of the family's 3401-position model. The record is from RNAcentral. Lineage: Eukaryota; Fungi; Basidiomycota; Agaricomycetes; Auriculariales.
AAAGCUCAAAUUUGAAAUCUGGCGGUCUACGGCCGUCCGAGUUGUAAUUUAGAGAGGCGUCUUCCGCGUCGGACCACACACAAGUUCCCUGGAACGGGGCGUCAUAGAGGGUGAGAAUCCCGUAUAUGGUGUGGACUACCGAGGCUAUGUGAUGCGCCCUCGAAGAGUCGAGUUGUUUGAGAAUGCAGCUCAAAACGGGUGGUAAAUUCCAUCUAAAGCUAAAUAUUGGCGAGAGACCGAUAGCGAA